RNAcentral lists this ribosomal RNA (290 nucleotides) under uncultured bacterium. Its description in RNAcentral is "partial 16S ribosomal RNA". It matches the Rfam family "Bacterial small subunit ribosomal RNA", at positions 773 to 1060 of the family's 1533-position model. The record is from RNAcentral.
GUGGAUUAGAUACCCUGGUAGUCCACGCCCUAAACUAUGACGACUAGUUGUUGGGGAUUUAACAUCCUUAGUAACGCAGCUAACGCGUGAAGUCGUCCGCCUGGGGAGUACGGUCGCAAGAUUAAAACUCAAAGGAAUUGACGGGGGCCCGCACAAGCGGUGGAUGAUGUGGUUUAAUUCGAUGCAACGCGAAGAACCUUACCUACCCUUGACAUGUCAGGAAUUCCGCAGAGAUGUGGAAGUGCUCGAAAGAGAACCUGAACACAGGUGCUGCACGGCCGUCGUCAACU